GGGCCGUUAGCUCAAUUGGUAGAGCUGCGGACUUUUAAUCCCCGGGUUUGCCGUGUCAACGAGUGUCGCAUAGUGCCGCCCA
This 82-nucleotide transfer RNA is filed under the name Amycolatopsis acidiphila. Its description in RNAcentral is "tRNA-Lys". Lineage: Bacteria; Bacillati; Actinomycetota; Actinomycetes; Pseudonocardiales; Pseudonocardiaceae. The record is from RNAcentral.